Long non-coding RNA from Eriocheir sinensis (Chinese mitten crab), 297 nucleotides. RefSeq lists it as uncharacterized. The transcript has 2 exons. The record is from RefSeq and is a predicted model, not a curated record. Lineage: Eukaryota; Metazoa; Arthropoda; Malacostraca; Decapoda; Varunidae.
AAGACUCACACUACCACCAGGGUCAUAAAAAUACCCCUGGAAAUGCCCACAACUCCUAGGAAAGCCUUGUCAAAUAUGUGUUUCUUCAGGUUCACGGUACAGAAGAAGACUCACACUACCACCAGGGUCAUAAAACUACCCCUGGAAAUGCCCACAAAUCAUACGAAAGCCUUGUCAAAUAUGUGUUCUUGGCCGGCGAAAUGUCUUGUAAUACGACUCUAUGUGUGUAUGUAAGGACUAAGGAACGAUCGAGGCCGCUGUACGGACGACGAAGGGAAAAUAAACUUGUAAAAAAUC